This 2063-nucleotide long non-coding RNA is filed under the name Mus musculus (house mouse). RNAcentral describes it as "long non-coding RNA chr14:122686315-122688378". The record is from RNAcentral. Lineage: Eukaryota; Metazoa; Chordata; Mammalia; Rodentia; Muridae.
UAAAAAUAUUUUUUGUACUUCAUGGUAUUUAGAAACAUCAGAAUCCACUCAACAGGGUAAGUUCACACACAUCUAAUCAUAUAAAUGAUAGUUUAUACUGUGAAAGAUCAUAGAAUCCUAAGAAUGGGAAAUGACUUUUUGUGUUAAAAAUGUAAUCUUUUCUUUAAAAAAAAAAAAAAACCCAACAAAAAAACCAAACUAAUCCAGCCCUGUGUUAUAGUCAGAUGUCAAGAAGUUCUAGCACAAAAUAAACUCACUAGCAGAAUUUUAUUAAAGAGUAAAAAGUGCCUCAUUUUGUGUGGUAUCACCAACUUUGAGGAAACAGUGACUAGCAUUCAUUUUAUUCCAUAGUUCAUCUGUUCGUUUCCUUUCUAAGCAAUUCGAUUGCUUCAGAAGAACAAGGGUGGCACCUUCUCUCUUACUCAGGGUAUUGAGUGCACAUAUAGAUGACAUUAUGUUAGCCAUGCAUGAAAAGGCUGUACCAUCUGUGAAUAGGAUUAUUCAGUUUGAUGGCUGCUAAGAAGAUGGUGAAAGAUUACAGGAAGAAUUCUGAAUUUGAAGAUGUUAUUGGAUAUAUGAUUUAUUUCACUUUUAAGCUGAUUUUUGCCCAUGUGCUUUCUAAAGGGACUUGACCCUUUCUAGGCCUGGAGACUCCAUGCUGUGUUCAAAGCCUGGAGGCAGAAAAAAUUAGUAAAGACUGAGCAGGCAUUCUGUGAUGCUAAAUAGCACAUGAGAGCAAGUGUCAUAGGGACAUAUCUAAACACUUUUUUAAUCAAACAAACAAAAAAAAGUCUUAAAUAAGAAGCUGUAAUGAUUACUCUAGUUGCUAGAAGUUUCCACCAUGUUGUAAUAGCUCACAGGAUGUCAAACAUUUUGCCCUCUCAAGUUUUUGCAAUUUGCAAUUUUCAAACGUGAGACCUGUUGAAAGCCCAAGUGAUAAUGGACAAACUCUACCCCCUACAGUCUUUGUCCCACCAAAUCUUUCUUCAAUUAAUGCUGCAGCAGGAGUUUUAUGUAAUAACAUUUGCAGUUGUGAUCCAUCCAUAGAAAGAAAAAACAAUUAAAAUGCCUUAAAUGUUCUGCUUACUGCUGUUAUUUGCGUGUGUGAAUGUUGCAUGUCAGCUAAAUGGACCAAGGAAUAGAUAAAGGGAUUGGGGGCAGGAGAGUGUGCACUAAGCUUUGUCUAUCAUUAUUGCUGGGAGCAAUCAAAUUGAUGUCAGCAGGACAGUAGACGCGUUGACAGCUGUAAUUAUGUAUCUCCAUGGUGAUCACUUUUGGCCUGUCAUGGAGGCCCACAAGUCCCCUCCCUUCAACACAUUUAAUCAUAUUGGGCUGUCACUUGUCAGGUAGACACGGCGGGCUGGGAGCUGUGCCGAGGGGAGAGGUGAAUUGAUAAUGAAGGCUGGGAGCCGCCUUAUAGUUUCUAGGGUCCACUUUUUGGCUGACAAAGGCAAUUUUAAUUGUUCUGGAGGUAUGUGGAGGCUGACUUGAGCACCUCACACUUGGGAUGCAUGAGUGUUUUCAGUGUGGUCCUCUUUCUCCCUCACUAUAUUAAAGCUAGAUGUGUCAUUUUCACAGGGAAGCCAGCUUUGGAUCUUGGGUUUUUUUGGUCACAAGAAAGAGCAAAUAUUUCAGAGUUAACUUUUGAUUCACACCUUUCACGCACAUCAUUAAGGCUGAAACAUGCUUGUAGGGCAGAGAUGAGGCUGUUCCUUGUAGUCUUUGAUCUUCCAAGUUUGUGAAUUUAUUUUCAGAUCACACUGGUGUGUUAUGCUUAGAGUUCCAUUUGCCUUCAUUCUUGAAAUGGCCAGUGGCGUUAUGUAGGCUUUGUAUGCAUGGAGGAAUGGGCAAUUGAAUUUGUUUUUUAAUUGAUUGUUACUAGUAAGAUAUAUAGUUGGCUAUUACUUAGAAAAAUGUAUGUAAACUGGGAGUUAAAACUUGUUUUUUUUUUUUCUCUAUACAGUUUCUUUGGGAAUGUUGAUCUGCCUAUGUGUGCUCAUUGUAUAUGAUAUGUUUUGAUUUGACCCCAUGUGUUCAAGGUGACACAUUUUUGUCAUUAAUUU